AUUCACCGUGAGCAUCCUCGAAGUUCACCUCCACACAGUUUGGUUCAUUCGCGACUAGUUAUUACGCAGGAACUAUGUGACGGUGCAUACUUGGUGUUGUCAAAGCAGAGGGCAAUGGGAUGGAUAAUUCCUUUAUAUUCACUAUUUCCUAAGUUCGUUGUUAUGCAUUGGGAGAAGUAAACUUCUUGAUUAUGUGUAAAGAAAACUAGGAAGCCUUGGCGCAGGGUCACCUCCUUUUUGUAAGGUCGAAGGAGGAAGUUCAUGUUCCCGUAAAAAACGAGAGAGGAUAAUGUCACUCUGUACGCUUAAUUUAUUUUAGGCAGUUGGUGCAUUUGCUUAUUACCGCCAAGUUCAUUCGGCAAAAUAACGUGGAAUGGUGCUCCGGUAUUACUCUCCGGGGAUUUCAACACUACACUUAAGGAACAACACUUGGAGCUCACUUAAGAUGGCGUUUGUGGUACCUUUGAAGCCAUGGUCCUGUCUCAUUGAGCGUGCCUUCCACACACGGGAGUUCACAAAGCCAAGCGUGGGCGUCCACUAGCACCAAUGCUUCCGGGUUGAUACGAGCACCUCACCAACAACAUGGCUGCCAUCCCAAGCUCUUGGCCUUACACAAUGGGCGGCCCCUAGACAA
This is a long non-coding RNA of Lolium rigidum, 634 nucleotides long. RefSeq lists it as uncharacterized. The record is from RefSeq and is a predicted model, not a curated record. The transcript has 4 exons. NCBI's taxonomy places the organism in Eukaryota, Viridiplantae, Streptophyta, Magnoliopsida, Poales, Poaceae.